UACGGAGGGAGCUAGCAUUAUUCGGAAUUACUGGGCGUAAAGCGCACGUAGGCGGCUUUGUAAGUAAGAGGUGAAAGCCUGGAGCUCAACUCCAGAACUGCCUUUUAGACUGCAUCGCUUGAAUCCAGGAGAGGUGAGUGGAAUUCCGAGUGUAGAGGUGAAAUUCGUAGAUAUUCGGAAGAACACCAGUGGCGAAGGCGGCUCACUGGACUGGUAUUGACGCUGAGGUGCGAAAGCGUGGGGAGCAAACAGG
RNAcentral lists this ribosomal RNA (253 nucleotides) under uncultured bacterium. RNAcentral's name for it is "partial 16S ribosomal RNA". It matches the Rfam family "Bacterial small subunit ribosomal RNA", at positions 524 to 776 of the family's 1533-position model. The record is from RNAcentral.